CUUCUCUGGAAAAAAAUAUUGGGCCUCCAGAAAUUAAUCAUAGUAUGUCCAAGGUCCCAAUACUUUGUCCUGCCACCUGUCCCGACAUUUAGUUCAUAGUAGCCCACCCAGAAGGUGGCUGCAGGUACAUGUCAUGAAAAUCCCACAAAAUCGGAUACAUUUGGGUAAUACAAUUUCCCAAAGCAAAACUGGCAAAUUACAUAAGAGAUAUGUAUCUUAAAUCUAGAGUUCUGUGAGUUAUUUUUUGUAAAUACGUUUGACAAAUAGAAACAGAUUCUUACGAUUAAUCUUCCUUGGGCAGUUGGGGUUCACUUGAAAGCUUCUUAGAAAGUUCUUUGGUGACUUUCCAUCAAAGCAAUAAAUUUAAGAUUAAAAGCUAUCACUUUAUAAAAUUUCUUUUUAGCUACAAAUUUAAAUUUAUGAAACCUAGAUUUAGGUUUUAUACCUACCAUACCCGAGAACAUACCAAGUCUAAUUAGCUUCAUUUUAUGGGAGCUUUUGGAUGAUUAUAUAUUUUUAUGGAGGCCAGCAAAGGCCAUCAGCAGUAAGACAUGGGUUAAAGAAUACAGAGGGGCAGAAAAGAGUAAUAGAAGGGUUUGUGAGAGGACAUUCUGAGUUGAAAUAUAGAAUUAACAUAUUUUGUUUCUUUUUUUUCCCCCUUUAGCUGAAAAUGAUGGUAAAGUAUAACUUUAUUUCUCUUUCUUUGCAAAAUAAAUAGCUACUUGAGUAAACAUCCAUAAUACCAUUCUCAGCUGAUAGAAACUGAUACCAGUCUAUUUGAGAAGCUAAUAUUCCCUCAAAGGAAUGUGGACUCACUAGCACUGCCUCGGAAUAAAGACAACUAUAAGGGAUACAAAAAAGAAUUUCCAACAAAAUAUGUUUCUCCCAGCUUAGGAAAUUCUCAGCUAUUAGAAUCUCCAAAAUAGACCUUGCCUGUUACACAGAUCCUGAGAUUAGCAGAAAGUCAUGGGUUCUCU
This 977-nucleotide long non-coding RNA is filed under the name Bos taurus (domestic cattle). Its description in RNAcentral is "long non-coding RNA NONBTAT006827". The record is from RNAcentral. Lineage: Eukaryota; Metazoa; Chordata; Mammalia; Artiodactyla; Bovidae.